RNAcentral lists this unclassified non-coding RNA (290 nucleotides) under Hevea brasiliensis (rubber tree). The record is from RNAcentral. Lineage: Eukaryota; Viridiplantae; Streptophyta; Magnoliopsida; Malpighiales; Euphorbiaceae.
AAAAAAAAAAAAAAAAAAACCUGAAAGUAUUAUUAUGUCUACAACAAAGGGUAAUUGAUUUUUUUUUUAAAAAUUAUUUUUCAAUUGGGAAUUUUUAACUCAACAAUGGAAGUCUAUGUUGGGGUAAAUAUUAAAAUUAAAAACAGUUGUGACUGUAACGGGUAAGAAUGUGAAUACCAUUUGGCACUCAAUCCUUUCCUUGUACCUUUGUAUGCUAUGUAAUUUGAAGAGACCCUUGUAAGUAAAAGGGACAUGAAAAAAUGAAUAUAUCAUAAAACUUUUCCCAAAAA